ACCUAAGAGAUUUGGCGGUACUCGUUACUUAUUAGAGAAAUUUGCUUUAAAAAAUCGAUAAUCCCCGAAAAAUCUUACUUCUAUUAGUAUAAAUAAGUUUGUAUACCGUCAUAGAUGUGAUUUCUAAAGAUUAUAAAUCAUUUAAUUAGCUUAGUUAAGCAAGACAUUAGAUCAAGGUGCAGCUAAUAUAGGAGGUUAGAGUGAAUUGCAGUAUAGUUUUAUAGGAUUGUUUGGAAAAAAAGUUGAAAAUGAUUUCGAAAUUGGAUUUAAUAGUAAUAAUAUUUUAAUAAGAUAUUUUGAUCAUAGUUCUGGAGUAUGU
RNAcentral lists this ribosomal RNA (319 nucleotides) under Stenopus scutellatus. RNAcentral describes it as "partial 12S ribosomal RNA". The record is from RNAcentral. Lineage: Eukaryota; Metazoa; Arthropoda; Malacostraca; Decapoda; Stenopodidae.